RNAcentral lists this ribosomal RNA (315 nucleotides) under Escherichia coli. Its description in RNAcentral is "partial 23S ribosomal RNA". It matches the Rfam family "Bacterial large subunit ribosomal RNA", at positions 1 to 352 of the family's 2925-position model. Lineage: Bacteria; Pseudomonadati; Pseudomonadota; Gammaproteobacteria; Enterobacterales; Enterobacteriaceae. The record is from RNAcentral.
GGUUAAGCGACUAAGCGUACACGGUGGAUGCCCUGGCAGUCAGAGGCGAUGAAGGACGUGCUAAUCUGCGAUAAGCGUCGGUGAGGUGAUAUGAACCGUUAUAACCGGCGAUUUCCGAAUGGGGAAACCCAGUGUGUUUCGACACACUAUCAUUAACUGAAUCCAUAGGUUAAUGAGGCGAACCGGGGGAACUGAAACAUCUAAGUACCCCGAGGAAAAGAAAUCAACCGAGAUUCCCCCAGUAGCGGCGAGCGAACGGGGAGGAGCCCAGAGUCUGAAUCAGUGUGUGUGUUAGUGGAAGCGUCUGGAAAGGCG